Molecule: long non-coding RNA, 435 nt
Organism: Zea mays
Lineage: Eukaryota; Viridiplantae; Streptophyta; Magnoliopsida; Poales; Poaceae
Exons: 2
Source: RefSeq, a predicted model, not a curated record
UCCACCUCGUGCUGCCACUGUCAUGGUCGGUUCAUGCCAAGCCAAGCGAAGCACAGAGAAGCGGUGAAGACAUAGGGAGUAGUGGGCCACCGUCAUGUUUCCUUGACCUCGACGGAGUUUGUAGCACUAGAUCGAGCCUAGGAGCAUCACAGGAGCGCAUGGAGUCCGACCGGUGGCCAACCAAGCGGAGGCGAGGGCGGUGCAGUGGCAAAUUACUAUGAUCUAUGGCCAAGGAUCUCCACGCCAUUAUUUCCAGUCAAGGACAGGUACCACAAGACGAGGAGCAUGAAGGAUAUCGUGAUGAGUUCGUGAGAGGUCUAGGUCAUUGUCUCUCAGUCAACUAUGGUUGCGGGGAUUGUUGUCUUCGUAUGAUAUAAUUAUUUAGCUAUUUUGUACAGAACUCCUAUUAUAUAGUAAAGAUGUGACAUUCGUUUC